Pogona vitticeps (central bearded dragon) is the source of this 2406-nucleotide long non-coding RNA. The record is from Ensembl. NCBI's taxonomy places the organism in Eukaryota, Metazoa, Chordata, Lepidosauria, Squamata, Agamidae.
GUCCUCCUGUGUCAGUUACCAGAACCUGUAAAUUCUGACAUUUCUGUACAACAGUGUCCUAGGUUCUAUGUACAUUUCCUAUUGUGUGUGAAAUGCAACAGCUGUCCUCUGAAAAGGAAAAGAAUUACAAAGUGGGUUCCUCAGAUGUUAUUACUCACUUUUCAGCUAAUAUGGAAUGAUGAAGUGUACUUUCAUUGGCCCUUCUUCUCACAAACCUGCACUUAGCAUCCUUGCAUCCAAUGUAAUCCUCUACCAGUUUAGCAUGAAGCAGGGUGCUUGAUUUUAUUUGCAAAUAGUACUGUGGGCUGCAUGAAACGAAUAUCUAGAUCCAUGUCAGUCUGCUGUUAUGGGUCAGUUAUGGGACUGAGAGAGUUUUGGUCACCUUGGUGGAUGAUCUACACUAGGAACUGGACAGGGUGUGUGUGUCCCUGCUAGAUCUCUUGAUGCUUUUGAUGCAAUCAAGGACAGUAUCCCUUUUUUGGGUUGCUUCACAGGGAUGGGACUUGAAGGCACUAUCCUGCAGUGGCUCUGGUCGUUCUUGAAGAGGCAAACUCUGAAGGCAGUGCUGGGGAACUCUGUUCAUAUGCCCUGGCCAGGGCUUUCUGCUGUCACUCACACUAUUUAUUUUCAUUCUACAUGAAAUCUCUGGGAAAGAUUGUCUAAAGUUUUGGAGUGUGGCAUCCAAAGUUUUGGAGUGUGGCAUCAUCAACUCUCUCUCUCUCUCUCUCUCUCUCCUUCCCAUCUAAUUCCAAGGAAAUGGUUUUGACUCUAAACCGAUGCCUGAUAUCUGUAGUGGACUGGAUGAGCUUCCCCAAGAUCUUCAUCUACCAGAAAUUUACCUGUGAGAAAGAAGACUGAGGCCAGCUCCUGUUUCAAUGAAGAAGCAAAAAAUGACCUCCAGUGGAGGCUUCUAUCAAGGCAGUGAAGGAUGUACUCUAUUGAUUCCAACACCCUGCUACACUCUCUUGAAUCAUGCUUUUCUGAAGACUUUCCUGAACACUACAGAAUGGAUUUGGAGGAGAACAAUGCAAGAAAUUUUCCACUUCCCUCAGCAUUCAGACUCCAUUGCUGAUUUCUUCCACCACCGCCCCCAGGGGAAGCCCAGAUACAUGAAUCAGCAGUUGAAAACCACAAGCCACCUCUUCCUCAUAAUCAGGCCCUUGCUUUCUUGCUUGUGUCAGUGUGUAGAAUUCUUAAGAAUAGCAGCGACUAGCAAGUUUAUAUUGAUUCUGCUCUCCUAUAGUGGCAGCAGAAGCAGUCUCAGUUCCUCUAAACUGCCUAGGUCUAGGAAGUCCUCAUAAAUGCCCUUGUUUGGGAGAACAGAGGCAUGAGGCAUGUGGGAUGUACCAAGGAGGAGAAGGUACCUUCAUAACACAAAGCACCUUUUAAAAAAUGACCAAUAUUUCCAAGCUCUGACUAAUGUUUUCCUGUCUUCAGAGUCAUAUUUUGUUCAUCAACUCAGUGUUUUUGGGGUGAAAGAUGGAAGACACAUCCUUUCUGCUACAAAUUAUACUUAAUAAUGUGGCCUUUAUUUUCUUCUUUCACUUGAGCAUUAUAUAAUGGAUGCAUGUAUUUUAGCACAAAACUAGAUGCAACAGAACAGCCAUGUGAACGUAAUCUAUGUGUCUGUCCUGUUUAUAUAUAAAUUUGAGUGAAUAUUUCAUACUAAACAUGAAAGAGCACCCUCCCACCCUGUCUUGGUGUCCUGCAUUGCUUUUAAGCCAACUUCUUCUUGCUCAGCUCAAAAAGCAACAGGUUUCAAUGAGGUAUGUGUGGCAGAAUUUCCUUCACCCCUGUUUUAUAUGUAAACUGGUACUCAGGUGCCCACACAUGUCUAGCUGAGCCUCAAGAUCAUCAUCUUAUUAUCUCUUUUAAAGCAAUAUUUACCAUUCUGGUAAGUCGUAUUUCCUUAUCCUUUUGAACAAAGUUAUCUGAAAUUACUGUACUAAGGAGAUCAGGACUCCAUUUGCAUUGACAAUUUCCCUUCCAAAUCUUCAUACAUUAUAGUGGUGCUUUCUAGAAGUACACAAGAAAAUGUUUCAUUAUUGCAGUCAUUUUUACUAUCAAACUCUUAUUCUAUUAUCCAUUCAUUAAGAUUACACUCAUUGGGUUAUCGAUCUGUUUAAAUCACAUUGAAUUCAUAUGCCAUAUAUUUUUCUUUCUUUCUGUUGCCUGCAAAGGUUGCAACACAGGCUCCCUCUAAGCGGAUCCCCCACACACAGGCAAGAGAAGUUUCCCAAAACAACUCAGAGGCUGCAUUAAUGACAGCCAUGGAUAUUGCAUUCUGGAGAUUAACAUGGCAGCCCACACAGAUGGCCACCAAUUCUUAUCAUGAGCUCAGUUCCCCCUGCCAAAAAGUACUGAGUCUUUGGGUAAAUGGAAAAUAAAAUAGGAGCAGCCAUAGCA